UACAGAGGGUGCGAGCGUUGUUCGGAGUUACUGGGUGUAAAGGGUUCGUAGGCGGUGUGGCAAGUCGGGAGUGAAAUCUCUGGGCUCAACCCAGAGACUGCUUCCGAAACUGCUGUGCUUGAGUGUGGGAGAGGCGCGUGGAAUUGCAGGUGUAGCGGUGAAAUGCGUAGAUAUCGGCAGGAACACCCGUGGCGAAAGCGGCGCGCUGGACCACUACUGACGCUGAGGAACGAAAGCUAGGGGAGCAAACAGG
RNAcentral lists this ribosomal RNA (253 nucleotides) under uncultured bacterium. Its description in RNAcentral is "partial 16S ribosomal RNA". It matches the Rfam family "Bacterial small subunit ribosomal RNA", at positions 524 to 776 of the family's 1533-position model. The record is from RNAcentral.